AGUUCAUUCCCAGCGUCUUCUACUUCUACUCUGGAGGUCAUUGCAACAAGGAUAACAUUCCAAAAUCAACUUAGCUCAGGCCGCAGGUUUCAACUAGGGUUUUUCGAUUUUCCAAUAGAAAUUGGUUAUCAUCGACUUCUAAACAUGGCAUUGCUCUUCAAGUUGAAGAGCCUCAGAUUGGGUUAUUCAAUACUGUCUUCAACAUUUGCUUCAAAAACUAAAAGGUUUGUUGUUGGAGAUCGAAAACCCUCAAAUUUUUCUCUUCAAAAUCAGUUACUCUGCCGACACUUCACCUCAGAAAUCUCGGCAAACCAACACAAUUUCACAGUCACUUACCUCAUAAACUCAUGUGGGUUGUCUCCAAAAGCUGCAAUUUCAGCAUCCAAGAAGGUCGAGUUGCAAACCCCAGAAAGAUCAGACUCCGUCUUGGCCCUUGUGAGAAACUAUGGACUCUCUGAAGCCCAGCUCUCAAAGUUUGUCAGGUUUCACCCAGAAGUUCUUUUAGCCGAUCCUGAGCAAACCCUUUUGCCAAAGCUUCAGUUUUUCAUCUCUCUCGGAGUUUCAAAGGAGGACCUUGCCAAAACUCUGGCUUUCUGUCCAAAGAUUUUGUCAAGAAGCUUGGAGAAAGAGAUUUUACCCGAUUAUAAUUUCCUUAGGAGUUGGAUUCCUGAGAAAAAGGCUCUUUCUCUUUUGAAGGGCCGCUCGUGGUUUUUCUUCAAUGGCCACUCCAAAAAUGUGGUGCCAAAUAUUGAUCUUUUGAGACAACUAGGUAUGCCCCGAUCAUGCAUUUCUCUGUUGCUAGCUCAUUAUACUAAUGUUCUGAUGCUAAAGCAUGAAAGGUUUGGUGUAGUUGUGGCUAAGGUCAAGGAAAUGGGAUUUAAUCUGGAAAAAGCCACUUCCGUGUCUGCUCUACGUGUAUUGUGUGGUAGGCACAAGUCAGUAUGGAAUCGAAAUUGGGAACUUUAUAGUAGUUGGGGUUGGUCCGAUGGCGAUAUUCUCUCUGCUUUCAGGCGGUAUCCGCCGUGUAUGAUUCACUCGGAGAAGAAGGUAAUGGACGUAAUGGAUCUUUUAGUGAACAACAUGGGAUGGCCGUCAAGAAAGAUUGCCCAAUAUCCUGUGAUCGUAAGUUUGAGUUUAAAGAGGAGACUGAUCCCAAGGUGUUUGGUUGUUAAGGUUUUGUUUUUGAAAGGAGUUAUAGAUGAAAACUUGCAUUUGGGUUCUGUGUUGCUGCCUGUGGAGAAGCACUUCCUGGAGAAGUUUGUAACUGCAUAUCUCAAGGAAAUACCUCAGUUGUUGAAUGUGUAUCAAGGGAAAGUUGAAUUCCAGGAUGUAUGAUGUUAUAACAGUUUUAACACCUUGAUGCUGCAGUGCCUUGCUUGGAAAAUUGCUUUUGAGACAAUACACACGUCUUGCUUCUGUUGGGGUCCAAUUUAAACUUAUCCGCAGUACCAAGAAGUACAAUUCAGUGACUUCAAAGCCUGCAAUCAAAAUGUACACGUAAUGACUAGCUUAUCGGAAUCCCUGGAGCAAGGCAUUUUUUAUGCUUAUCUCAGUAUACAUGGGGUUGGGGGGCGGGCACGACUGGAGUUCCCAGGACAACAGCACCAUCAGUUUUAACACCUUUCCUUAUAUAUGAAUGAAUAUACGUGAUGAAUUUGAUCGUUUUGAAAUUAAGGAUCACAUUGGUGAUUACUAUUGGCAAUUGGACAAGUGGUGAUAAUGACAGAAGCUGGAUCUUUUGUCCCCACCGAUAACUAUUGCCAGCUGACUUGUCAUUGUUCCAAUAAGCUGGAUCUUUUGUCCCCUGAGGAACCCAAUGAAUAGUCCCAAUAUAUAUAUAUAUAAUACACACACACAGAGGAAGUCUAAACUUUUUACUGGAACUGGCAGGAAAAUGAAAAUUUGAAACAUUCUGUUCACUGUGCUCAUUCUAUGCAUGCUAUGAAUUUCAAUAGUUACAGUCUUACAACGGUUGAUAAAUAAACAACUAUGUAAAUUCAGUAUUUAGGUUAUGGAGAUUGUGAUUCUUUGCAGCUUUGUAUUGAAGCUGUAUAGUUAUUUUAUCCACAGCAUUACACAUUAUUGGAGUCAUCUGAGAAUUAAAAUGGAAUGGCAUUUGGUAGGCAUUCAUGCUGUGAACAUCUCAUUUUAAUUGUUUUUAUAUCUGCAUUGUCUUCUCGGGAAAAUGUGACACUGAGGAUUGAGGUAUAUUAUUGUACAAGCAUUAUCAAGCUAACCACCUGAAAAUGGGAACUAGAAAUGUAUGUUUUCUGGUAUUGCUGCUUUGACUCAGUAGGGCAUUGAGGGUACAAUCCAUGUUUGAUCUGUUAGUCUGAUUCAUUCCCCAAUCUAUUAACUAUUAUUUGGUUAUUUAGAAGUGUUUCAUUGUUUUGUGGAGCAAUUUUUUUUUUUCUUGGUGGCACACAAGAAGGAAUAAUCAGCUAAACAGUCAAGGUGAGAUGUGAUGUGAGUAGUAAGUUAGUAACAUUUGUUUUUCCCUAUAAACAAAUGUUACUAACUUACUACAGCAUGCUGUGAAUCAUACACCUUUUGCUGCAGACAAGCUACUCUAUAAAUAGCUGAGAAAAUAUGACAGCAAAUAUGGAAAGGUGAGAGGUUAAUAAUGCAAGUAACAGAAUUCAUCUUUCAGUUUUCUGAUACUAUGGUUUCCAAACAGUUCUGUUUUCUCAUAGAAACUUCUCCUAAUUUGUUAUUGAAAUGCUGGUGCAUAAUCUCUGCAUAUAAAUAUUUAUUGAUCAGUCUACAUUUUGUCAUUCAGAUUGUGGAUUCUCUGCACCUCAAUUUAAUUUGCAAAUUAAUGUUCUCAUCAGGAAAUGUUACAUGCAUUGUGAGCCUCUUCAUCAUGGAAAUGCAUUUGGAGAAUUUUCUCUAGGGGUUGAAUUGCCUUUCAUAAUCUGGAAAAUGUUAAUAAGCUGAAAUUAUAAGGUGGAGAAGAAGGUGAAAUCCAUAAAUAGGCAUAAAAUGAGUGGAGUGGGUUCCUAUCAAAUAGGUCGAUUCUCUCCCCUUUUUUCUGUUUACUUCCUUUUCUUCUUACUUGCAAUUCAAUUCUCUACUGUUUGCUUCAUUUAAAUAAACUCUAGUAGGUCAUUUAAACAUAAUCUAAGUCAGAAUCGAAUAGGUCAUCUAAACGUAAUCCAGGUCUCAAAUAGAACAAUUUUACUGUCAAAUAUUGUUUUCUGGUGGCAAAAAUAUCUUCUUUUUUUGUUCUUUUAUGGAUUGGGGGAACGUGGAUCCCUCUGGUUCAAAGAAAAUGGAUUUGUGGGAAAUCAAUUCCAAUGUCUUUUAUGAGGGGAUGGAAUGGAAACUAGAAGUCUUUUUCCAUCUUUUAUACUGCUAAAUUAACUUGAAAAUAUCAUUUUAGUUUAUUUUCCUAUGUUUGAUUUAUGCAGAAAUUAAAAACAAGAAUACACUUAAUUUUUCAAUUCUACCCUUACAUU
RNA transcript from Prunus avium (sweet cherry), 3458 nucleotides. RefSeq lists it as uncharacterized. Lineage: Eukaryota; Viridiplantae; Streptophyta; Magnoliopsida; Rosales; Rosaceae. The record is from RefSeq and is a predicted model, not a curated record.